This 107-nucleotide small nuclear RNA is filed under the name Meriones unguiculatus (Mongolian gerbil). The record is from RNAcentral. Lineage: Eukaryota; Metazoa; Chordata; Mammalia; Rodentia; Muridae.
UAGCUCAAUUUGACAGCAUAUAUACUAAAAUUGGAACUAUACAGAGCAGAUUAGCCCAGCCGUUGCAUAAGGAUGAUAUGAAAAUUCAUGAAGCAUUCCAUAUUUUU